UACGUAGGGGGCAAGCGUUAUCCGGAAUUACUGGGUAUAAAGGGUGAGUAGGCGGCAUGGUAAGCCAGAUGUGAAAGCCUUGGGCUUAACCCGAGGAUUGCAUUUGGAACUAUCAAGCUAGAGUACAGGAGAGGAAAGCGGAAUUCCUAGUGUAGCGGUGAAAUGCGUAGAUAUUAGGAAGAACACCAGUGGCGAAGGCGGCUUUCUGGACUGAAACUGACGCUGAGGCACGAAAGCGUGGGGAGCGAACAGG
RNAcentral lists this ribosomal RNA (253 nucleotides) under uncultured bacterium. RNAcentral's name for it is "partial 16S ribosomal RNA". It matches the Rfam family "Bacterial small subunit ribosomal RNA", at positions 524 to 776 of the family's 1533-position model. The record is from RNAcentral.